GAUCCUGGCUCAGACGAACGCUGGCGGCGUGCCUAAUACAUGCAAGUCGAGCGAGCUGAAUUCAAAGAUUCCUUCGGGRUGAUUUGUUGGACGCUAGCGGCGGAUGGGUGAGUAACACGUGGGCAAUCUGCCCUAAAGACUGGGAUACGGCAUGGAAACAGGUGCUAAUACCGGAUAACAACAUGAAUCGCAUGAUUCAAGUUUGAAAGGCGGCGCAAGCUGUCACUUUAGGAUGAGCCCGCGGCGCAUUAGCUAGUUGGUGGGGUAAAGGCCUACCAAGGCAAUGAUGCGUAGC
Molecule: ribosomal RNA, 295 nt
Filed under: Lactobacillus sp.
Lineage: Bacteria; Bacillati; Bacillota; Bacilli; Lactobacillales; Lactobacillaceae
Description: partial 16S ribosomal RNA
Source: RNAcentral